Molecule: RNA transcript, 4799 nt
Organism: Physeter macrocephalus (sperm whale)
Lineage: Eukaryota; Metazoa; Chordata; Mammalia; Artiodactyla; Physeteridae
Gene: ZNF438
Gene name: zinc finger protein 438
Exons: 12
Source: RefSeq, a predicted model, not a curated record
CCUUGCGUCUUCCCGUACACAGAAAAUUGCUAAAUUCAUUAAUUUGAGAUGUCUGGUUUUCUUUAAUUAACAGUCAUCAUUCGAUGUUCUGACGACCUGGGUUUUUUUUUUUUUUUGCAAAAACUCCUACAUAUCCUGGCUUCUCCCUUACAGUCUCUCCAAGUGAUCUGAGAGCCUCUCUCCCGGGCCUAAGUGCUUAGUAUGUCCACCAAAUAGAACGUAAUUCUCAACUUCAAGGUUGUGGGGGUUUUUCAGUCGACACAUAUGUGAGGGUGUUCAGUGCAGCAUUGUUUAUAAGACUGAACACAGAUUUAAAUAUCCGUCAGAGCCGGUUUAAAGAACCUUCCGUGCUCCAGGGGACGGAAUACCGUGCUGCAGGAGAAAAGAUGGAAGUUGCACCUCAUGUGCUGAAAUCUGUAUUGUGUACAGGAAGCAAGAUGCAGAACACGUAUGGUGUGCUGUCAUGUGAAAAAGGAGGACACAUGGUAUGGUGUGCUGUCAUGUGAAAAAGGAGGAGGCAAGGGUGGGCGAGAAGGGGUCGGUGUGUGCUUGUAAUAUGCAUAGGAAUUUUCCCGGAAGGGGGCUUCAGGAAAGGGGUACCAGGAGAUGGCAAAGCGGGACACUUCCUUUUGCAUUAUUGGCAUGUUUGGCUGCAUUUUAUUUAUUGUUUUGGGGUUGCAAAAUGUCUUCACCGGAUUAAGCAGUAGCUGGGCUGCCAUCAUUCGGGAAGGCCUUGGCAACGCCGUGAAGGAAGGCAAAGUCGUCUGACCCCUUGAGCCUGAGCCCCUGCUGCCUGACGGUACCGCACCACGGCCCACAGGCUCCCCCUACGGAACAGCAGGCCAGAUGUUUUACUGACGUCACAGAUAACGAUCACUGCAGUAUUUAAAUGGACCCCAAGAGAAAAGCUCCAGAAUUUUCUUAAUUGCAUUCUAAAGCAGUGUCCGUCGGCACGUUCCAGCGCUGGCUGGGAGCAGGGCCCUCCCGGAGCCCCGGUCUCCACGGAGGGUGACACUGCAGUUCCGGGAGAUGCGUGAUGAUGCGGAGGUCGGAGGCCGCCCUCUGUGGAGGCCUUCCCCAGCCUCUCUAGAGAGAGGGUCCAUCUCCCCUUGCCCUGGGCCCCGCCGCCUUCGUGAAGCUGAAUGGCCCGUCAGGAAACCGCGGGCCCAGGCGCCAGACAGACGUGGGUUUGGAUGCUGGCCCUGCCCCUCACUGUCAGCGUGAACCAGCAGCUGGCAGCUGAAUCAUCCCCAGGAGGGCUUCCUGGAGGAGGUGACGUAGACCGGGAGCCUGGAGGAGGGAAGGCGCGCAGGGAGGACGUGACGCCGACCCGUGGGUGCAGGCAGAGACGUUUGGACCAAAGCUGGUGGUGGCAGCACCUCCUACUCCCACCUCACCUCCGUGUGACGACGUCCUUGGACUAGAUUCCCUCCAGAUUUCUCCGCAGCGCCGUCCAGCCCGUAGCUGCAGCUCCCGCCUCUUCACCAGACCCAAUACCACCCCUAGCUCUCGAAAGAGGUUCUACAGGUGGAUGAAAGCCUAAUCUCCACAUGAAGAAUAGGACCUCUGACAUAUCAUAACGAAGAGUUAAUCUUAUCCAGGUUCAGAGCCAGAAACCCGUCAUAUGAAAUCCCAGCGAAGACCGACAUUCUUUCCAGGUUCGUUACUCGCCGUGGAGCUGAGUUUUCCAGCGGUGCCCAAGCUAAGCAGCUGUCAGGCGAAACGGAGCCAUUUGUGGCCGCUCUGCGGGGCCCGGAGGAACGGCUCUCCUGGUGUGCGGGUUCCUCCUGGGGGGAGAUGCCGCUUGGGAAGCGUGAAUGAGGAGACCGGAAAGGCUGGGAGGGACUGGGGGGGUCCCGGUUUGCAGACACCAGGAGGCCACAGGUCUGGUCCCCUGCAAAGGCGCCCAGCGCGCUGAUGGGAAGUGCCCCAGGCUUCAAGCUUCGAGCCUGCAAAUUUAACUCCUACCCCCUUCCAGUCAGAAGAGGAAAAGCUGCAAGAGGGCUGUGAACAGAGGUGUGUCCACGGGAGGGGGGAGGAUGCACCCGGGCUCCCCAUCCGGGCAUGCGUGCAGGGAGACGGGCGCAGGCCUCCCUUUCCAUCCUGUUCUCCUACGGGAGCAGAAAGGCCGGUGGGGGAGGUGUGACACGAUUCUGCUCGGUCUGUGCGUCCAGUAAGCCCUUUUCUCUUUUCCAGAUGGCUUGCAGCACUUUAGUUCUUUCUUUCGGGGACCCGGCAGGGCUCCGUUGUUUUUCUGGAUUCCAGGGUGUACCCCACAAAUUCCCCGGGGUGGGUGGGGAUGAAACCACUCUGCAGUGUUCUCGCACGCAGCAGUCACAGCGGCCUGAGCUCGAGGGGAGCAGUGACUCCAAGAGGCCAGCCACGAGGCGAAAUCUGGGGGUCCACACCCUCCAGUCACGCACCGCCUACGGAGGUGCCGCUCAGGCUGGAAACUCGCAAACGAGGGAGCGCACCGGGGGCCAGGUGGCGAAUGCCUCGCUCGCCUACCUAGCAUCUAACCGGUGCCCACCGUGUGCCAGCUUCCGAGCCAGCCGCUGGGCAGAGAAAUGGACCCCCCGGGGGCUCCCAGUCCAGUGGGGAUACACACCUGACACUGGGGUCCCCCCCGCUCUGAGCUCUGGGGGUGUCAGGGUGCUUCCCACCUGCCUGCCUGAACUUCCUGUCCCAGCGCGUCACCUGCCAGCCCGCGGUGGGCAAACCUCCAGCUGCCGUGUCACCUGACUGCUUCUCGGGAUGCCUCCCGGUCUCCGGGCUUCCCGAGGGUCCCCGCGUCACGGCUCAGAUGCCCCCGUUGGCGGACCUCCCCGACCCCUGAUGGCCGAGAUCCGCAAAGCUGGGGCUAAAUAGAGACGUGAGCCUCCUGGGAGCCCGGGAAAGACCGGGGCGGAGACCUGCAGGUCUGCAGUUGGCAGACCGUGCAUCUUAAGCGUGAGGGUCCCCUGGGCUUGAAGAGCGCGUUUCUCCGUAAAGCGCAGCACAGGCAGGGUUUUCGGGUGACAAAGCUGCAUCAGCACCGACUCGGCGGCAGGCGGUAGGUGCCCGAUGGAGAGUGGCCCGGAAUGGGCAAGAACCCCCGCCCCGCCCCCCAAGGAGGCGGACGCACGAUGACGGCAAAGAAGGAAGCUGUGCGCUUUGUUUGAAGGGAAGCUGUUACAGAGAAAGAGGAAUCGGGCAAGAGGGAGAGGACGACGCGUCACGGCCGCUGCCAGGAGCAGCAGUGAUGGCCGGUCGCCAGGUGUCACACGGGAUCAGGGUGGGCAGGACGCUGCACGCGGACCCGCACAACCCCUGAGGCUGCCGGCCAGACAGCAGCGCUCAGCGUGGGGCCCAGGAACAAAGGCAGGUUCACGUUCCUACGAAACCACUCUCACAUUGCGGGCUGAAAGGAAGGGUCAGAAGAGAAGAAAGCAGACGCCGGGGGAAGAAGACUCACAAGAAAGGAAGACGGGCUGACAUGACGUGGAUUGCAGUAAACUCGAGCUUUAGCUCGGGUCCAUCUGUACGUUAAUGCCCGCCUCCGAGAUGAUUUCACCAGAGGCAAAUCCCACAGGCCACCUGUUGCUUUAACUCUCUUUCUUGUCUGGUGGGGAUGCUGGGACUCCCCGAGGGUCAUGGAGCAGCCAGUGACUAGAUCCUCCCGGGGGAAGAGAGCGACCAAGUGCUCAACCCCGGACCCCAAGCUCUUCGAUUUUCGUCCCUAAUGGGAAGCAGAGCCCUCGACAGCUGGAGGCCCGAGAGGGAACUCAAACCGCGUGGUCGGUGGUUGGGCCCGCGGACCGCUGCGUGCCGGCGGGCGUCCCCGGGACCAGGGGACGGGACGCGGGGCCGCAGUGUUGGUGUUCGUGUGACUUCGUCUCACGAUGGAUGAGCCGUGAGGCCCGAGGCCUGAGCCGUGGCCUCUGCGGGUGGCGCAGGCCAGCCCCCCGCCCCUCCUCCAGAGGCUUGGCUAACCCCCUCCGCAGAGGUCACCCUUCCUGCCGUGGCGUCCUCGCACCAUCAGGGGACGUUCAGUUUGCACUCCCGCAUUGCCGAGCACCAUCCCUGUGGGCAGAAACACCCCGUGCUGCCCCCGGCCCCCACCUGGUCGUCUCCCCAGCUCCCAGCUGACGCCUGAGCUCCCUGAGGCUCUGCAGAGACCUUUUGCUUCUGGAUGACAGAUGACUCUCUUCUCCUCUGGCCCAGGGAGGGGGACCUCCGCUUAAUGUUACCGAAUGUGCCAGCAGGGGCGGAAAUUCCCUGAUUCAUCUGUGCACUUCGAGGAGAAGGCAAACGAUGGACACGCUGCGGUUCGUGGAAUAAGUAGCUCUCGUAAAGCCAGACUAAGCGCGGUGAUUGGCAAUACGGAUUUCCCGUCCGAGUCCUUAGACUCUGUUCCGUCAGCACGUUCGGGCUCUGUGUCCAGAGAUACAUCAAAUGAACAGCACCACCUCCAGCCCCACUCAGGGCGUGGGCCGGGCCCCGGUUUGUCUCGGAAGGUCAGGCUGAGGGAUGCAGGAGCCGGCUCCGGAUGGACGUGUGUGGUCGGAGAGGUGCCCGCCGGCUUCCUGCUGCCUUGAGGACAGAGCCUAGCACCCAGUGGUCCCCAGGCCUGCCUCCCGCCUGCAUCUAAGUCCCUGCCCUCCACAGGGCUUUGCACACAGCAACCUCCCUCUCUGCCCAGCAGGCCAGCCUCCGAGGGACCACAGGUACCUCUGAGAACUCCCAGGGGACUGGCCAGCCUGGCUGGGCAGCUGAUGGUGGUGGACGGAGGGGAGAGGUAGACAGGGAGUCAAACACAG